UACACAUGCAGAGACCCAUUUCUUCUAAC
This 29-nucleotide non-coding RNA is filed under the name Rattus norvegicus (Norway rat). Lineage: Eukaryota; Metazoa; Chordata; Mammalia; Rodentia; Muridae. The record is from RNAcentral.